This 414-nucleotide ribosomal RNA is filed under the name uncultured bacterium. RNAcentral describes it as "bacterial SSU rRNA". It matches the Rfam family "Bacterial small subunit ribosomal RNA", at positions 355 to 786 of the family's 1533-position model. The record is from RNAcentral.
UGGGGAAUUUUGCGCAAUGGAGGCAACUCUGACGCAGCAACGCCGCGUGCGGGAUGAAGGCCCUCGGGUUGUAAACCGCUUUCAGCAGGGAAGACUUCGACUGUACCUGCAGAAGAAGCCCCGGCUAACUACGUGCCAGCAGCCGCGGUAAUACGUAGGGGGCGAGCGUUAUCCGGAUUCAUUGGGCGUAAAGCGCGCGUAGGCGGCUCGCCAAGCGGGAUCUCAAACCUGAGGGCUCAACCCCCAGCAGGAUCCCGGACCUGGCGGGCUCGAGUUCGGUAGGGGAAGGCGGAACUCCCAGUGUAGCGGUGAAAUGCGCAGAUAUUGGGAGGAACACCGAUGGCGAAGGCAGCCUUCUGGGCCGUAACUGACGCUGAGGUGCGAAAGCUAGGGGAGCGAACAGGAUUAGAUACC